UGGCUCAGUGGCAGAGCACUUGCCUUCCAUGUAUGAAGCCCUGGGUUCCAUCCCCAG
Molecule: transfer RNA, 57 nt
Filed under: Cavia porcellus (domestic guinea pig)
Lineage: Eukaryota; Metazoa; Chordata; Mammalia; Rodentia; Caviidae
Rfam family: tRNA
About the family: Transfer RNA (tRNA) molecules are approximately 80 nucleotides in length. Their secondary structure includes four short double-helical elements and three loops (D, anti-codon, and T loops). Further hydrogen bonds mediate the characteristic L-shaped molecular structure. tRNAs have two regions of fundamental functional importance: the anti-codon, which is responsible for specific mRNA codon recognition, and the 3' end, to which the tRNAs corresponding amino acid is attached (by aminoacyl-tRNA synthetases). tRNAs cope with the degeneracy of the genetic code in two manners: having more than one tRNA (with a specific anti-codon) for a particular amino acid; and 'wobble' base-pairing, i.e. permitting non-standard base-pairing at the 3rd anti-codon position.
Source: Rfam by way of RNAcentral